UCUCCCUUUAUUUGGCACUCAUUAGACCACAUCAAGAUAUUACAUCCAGUUUUAGCCCCCCAGUACAGGAAAGACAUUAACAAACUGGAGUAAAUUCAGCAAA
Molecule: long non-coding RNA, 103 nt
Organism: Haliaeetus leucocephalus (bald eagle)
Lineage: Eukaryota; Metazoa; Chordata; Aves; Accipitriformes; Accipitridae
Exons: 3
Source: RefSeq, a predicted model, not a curated record